AUUGAACGCUGGCGGCGUGCCUUACACAUGCAAGUCGAACGGCAGCACGGGAGCAAUCCUGGUGGCGAGUGGCGAACGGGUGAGUAAUAUAUCGGAACGUGCCCGGUCGUGGGGGAUAACGUAGCGAAAGCUACGCUAAUACCGCAUACGAUCUACGGAUGAAAGCGGGGGAUCGCAAGACCUCGCGCGAUUGGAGCGGCCGAUAUCAGAUUAGGUAGUUGGUGAGGUAAAGGCUCACCAAGCCGACGAUCUGUAGCUGGUCUGAGAGGACGACCAGCCACACUGGGACUGAGACACGGCCCAGACUCCUACGGGAGGCAGCAGUGGGGAAUUUUGGACAAUGGGCGCAAGCCUGAUCCAGCAAUGCCGCGUGCAGGAUGAAGG
RNAcentral lists this ribosomal RNA (384 nucleotides) under uncultured bacterium. RNAcentral's name for it is "bacterial SSU rRNA". It matches the Rfam family "Bacterial small subunit ribosomal RNA", at positions 29 to 414 of the family's 1533-position model. The record is from RNAcentral.